Molecule: ribosomal RNA, 243 nt
Filed under: uncultured bacterium
Lineage: Bacteria
Description: partial 16S ribosomal RNA
Rfam family: Bacterial small subunit ribosomal RNA
Source: RNAcentral
UAAUACAGGGGGUGCAAACGUUGCUCGGAAUUAUUGGGCGUAAAGCGCGCGUAGGCGGCCACCUAAGUCGGAUGUGAAGGCCCCUGGCCCAACUGGGGCAGUGCACCCGAAACUGAGUGGCUUGAGUACUAAAGAGGGUCGCGGAAUUCCCGGUGUAGAGGUGAAAUUCGUAGAUAUCGGGAGGAACACCGGUGGCGAAGGCGGCGACCUGGGUAGAUACUGACGCUGAGGCGCGAAAGCGUG